RNAcentral lists this transfer RNA (77 nucleotides) under Limisphaerales bacterium. Its description in RNAcentral is "Verrucomicrobia subdivision 3 bacterium (sediment metagenome) tRNA-Met". It matches the Rfam family "tRNA". From Rfam's summary of the family: Transfer RNA (tRNA) molecules are approximately 80 nucleotides in length. Their secondary structure includes four short double-helical elements and three loops (D, anti-codon, and T loops). Further hydrogen bonds mediate the characteristic L-shaped molecular structure. tRNAs have two regions of fundamental functional importance: the anti-codon, which is responsible for specific mRNA codon recognition, and the 3' end, to which the tRNAs corresponding amino acid is attached (by aminoacyl-tRNA synthetases). tRNAs cope with the degeneracy of the genetic code in two manners: having more than one tRNA (with a specific anti-codon) for a particular amino acid; and 'wobble' base-pairing, i.e. permitting non-standard base-pairing at the 3rd anti-codon position. The record is from RNAcentral. RNAcentral also lists the same sequence under 2 other names. Lineage: Bacteria; Pseudomonadati; Verrucomicrobiota; Verrucomicrobiia; Limisphaerales.
CGCGGGGUGGAGCAGCCCGGUAGCUCGUCAGGCUCAUAACCUGAAGGUCGGUGGUUCGAAUCCACCCCCCGCAACCA